This 303-nucleotide signal recognition particle RNA is filed under the name Solanum tuberosum (potato). Its description in RNAcentral is "SRP RNA Plant_SRP". It matches the Rfam family "Plant signal recognition particle RNA". The record is from Rfam by way of RNAcentral. Lineage: Eukaryota; Viridiplantae; Streptophyta; Magnoliopsida; Solanales; Solanaceae.
GCCGAGCUCAGUAGCGUGAGCUUGUAACCCAAGUGGGGGCAUUAGUGUGAUGGAAUGUUGGGCUGUCCCAGAUGGUUGGGUUUGGUGGGCUAGUGUCUGGCCUGCCCUGUCCAAGCGCAGAGUUGGAUCACGUGGCUCAGUUGAAAGAAUGGGCUGCUUGAUUCCUAAAGAGGGGUGGACUGCGUGAGGCUGGUUUCACAGAGCAACGAACAGCUCCCGCUCUGUGCAGUGGAAGGAUAACGGGUCAGUGCUUACCGAGUCCAGUAACGCCUGAUGGGCUGCUCCAAUUAAACCACCACUUUU